This 67-nucleotide transfer RNA is filed under the name Marellia remipes. RNAcentral describes it as "tRNA-Leu". The record is from RNAcentral. Lineage: Eukaryota; Metazoa; Arthropoda; Insecta; Orthoptera; Acrididae.
UCUAAUAUGGCAGAAUAGUGCGGUAGAUUUAAGCUUUACAUAUAAAGAAAUUAACCUUUUAUUAGAA